UUUUGGAUGGACCCGCGGCGUAUUAGCUAGUUGGUGAGGUAACGGCUCACCAAGGCAAUGAUACGUAGCCGAACUGAGAGGUUGAUCGGCCACAUUGGGACUGAGACACGGCCCAAACUCCUACGGGAGGCAGCAGUAGGGAAUCUUCCACAAUGGACGCAAGUCUGAUGGAGCAACGCCGCGUGAGUGAAGAAGGCUUUCGGGUCGUAAAACUCUGUUGUUGGAGAAGAAUGGUCGGCAGAGUAACUGUUGUCGGCGUGACGGUAUCCAACCAGAAAGCCACGGCUAACUACGUGCCAGCAGCCGCGGUAAUACGUAGGUGGCAAGCGUUAUCCGGAUUUAUUGGGCGUAAAGCGAGCGCAGGCGGUUUUUUAAGUCUGAUGUGAAAGCCCUCGGCUUAACCGAGGAAGUGCAUCGGAAACUGGGAAACUUGAGUGCAGAAGAGGACAGUGGAACUCCAUGUGUAGCGGUGAAAUGCGUAGAUAUAUGGAAGAACACCAGUGGCGAAGGCGGCUGUCUGGUCUGUAACUGACGCUGAGGCUCGAAAGCAUGGGUAGCGAACAGGAUUAGAUACCCUGGUAGUCCAUGCCGUAAACGAUGAAUGCUAGGUGUUGGAGGGUUUCCGCCCUUCAGUGCCGCAGCUAACGCAUUAAGCAUUCCGCCUGGGGAGUACGACCGCAAGGUUGAAACUCAAAGGAAUUGACGGGGGCCCGCACAAGCGGUGGAGCAUGUGGUUUAAUUCGAAGCAACGCGAAGAACCUUACCAGGUCUUGACAUCUUUUGAUCACCUGAGAGAUCAGGUUUCCCCUUCGGGGGCAAAAUGACAGGUGGUGCAUGGUUGUCGUCAGCUCGUGUCGUGAGAUGUUGGGUUAAGUCCCGCAACGAGCGCAACCCUUAUGACUAGUUGCCAGCAUUUAGUUGGGCACUCUAGUAAGACUGCCGGUGACAAACCGGAGGAAGGUGGGGAUGACGUCAAAUCAUCAUGCCCCUUAUGACCUGGGCUACACACGUGCUACAAUGGAUGGUACAACGAGUUGCGAGACCGCGAGGUCAAGCUAAUCUCUUAAAGCCAUUCUCAGUUCGGACUGUAGGCUGCAACUCGCCUACACGAAGUCGGAAUCGCUAGUAAUCGCGGAUCAGCACGCCGCGGUGAAUACGUUCCCGGGCCUUGUACACACCGCCCGUCACACCAUGAGAGUUUGUAACACCCGAAGCCGGUGGCGUAACCCUUUUAGGGAGCGAGCCGUCUAAGGUGGGACAAAUGAUUAGGGUGAAGUCGUAACAAGGUAGCCGUAGGAGAACCUGCGGCUGGAUCACCUCCUUUCUAAGGAA
Molecule: ribosomal RNA, 1332 nt
Filed under: Lacticaseibacillus rhamnosus
Lineage: Bacteria; Bacillati; Bacillota; Bacilli; Lactobacillales; Lactobacillaceae
Description: bacterial SSU rRNA
Rfam family: Bacterial small subunit ribosomal RNA
Source: RNAcentral